Molecule: small RNA, 582 nt
Filed under: Pan troglodytes (chimpanzee)
Lineage: Eukaryota; Metazoa; Chordata; Mammalia; Primates; Hominidae
Description: processed transcript
Source: RNAcentral
GGUUCUUCCUCCUUCCCCGUGUGUCUCCCCCUCCUCUCCUGGCCCUUCUCCGCCUCCCCUGUCCCUUCUCCUCCCCGUCCCUUCUCCUCCCCGUCCCUUCUCCUCCCCGUCCCUUCUCCUCCCCGUCCCUUCUCCUCUUCCCUGACCCUCAGAGCUCUGGAGACUGCCCCCCAUCCCCUGACCAGCUACACAUUUUACAACUAGUGCACUUAAGUUGGGGAGGGGUCUGUUGUGCGUCGGUGGGGCCCACGUCCUCCUCCCAACUUCUUGGAAUCAGUGACCCGCGCUGUCCUGGCUGCCGGGCUUAAGCCCUCCGGGACCAAAGACACAAGCCAAAGACACAAGCUCGAGUUUCCUCUAAGAAAAGAAAGCGCCCAAGAAUGUGGGGGUGAAACUCCCCUGUAAUUAGGAUCGCCAGAAUGUUAUGGAACAGUUCAAUCCUGGGCUGCGAAAUUUAAUAAACCUGGGGAAAAAUUAUGAGAAAGCUGUAAACGCUAUGAUCCUGGCAGGAAAAGCCUACUACGAUGGAGUGGCCAAGAUCGGUGAGAUUGCCACUGGGUCCCCCGUGUCGACCGAACUGGG